This 450-nucleotide RNase P RNA is filed under the name Azoarcus sp. DD4. RNAcentral describes it as "RNase P RNA component class A". It matches the Rfam family "Bacterial RNase P class A". Rfam says of the family: Ribonuclease P (RNase P) is a ubiquitous endoribonuclease, found in archaea, bacteria and eukarya as well as chloroplasts and mitochondria. Its best characterised activity is the generation of mature 5'-ends of tRNAs by cleaving the 5'-leader elements of precursor-tRNAs. Cellular RNase Ps are ribonucleoproteins. The record is from RNAcentral. Lineage: Bacteria; Pseudomonadati; Pseudomonadota; Betaproteobacteria; Rhodocyclales; Zoogloeaceae.
GAAGUUCGCCAGGCAGUCGCUGCGUACCUCGUGUGCGUGGAGGAAAGUCCGGGCCCCGCAGAGCAGGAUGCCGGCUAACGGCCGGGCGCCGUGAGGCGACGGAAAGUGCAACAGAGAGCAGACCGCCGAUGGCAUGGGCUUCGCUGCCGCAAGGCUGCAAGGUCCUUUUCGAAGCGUGGGUUCUCCGGAAACGGGGAGUCUGCGUUUCGGGCGCACAGGCAAGGGUGAAACGGUGGGGUAAGAGCCCACCGCAGGACUGGCAACAGGACUGGCACGGCAAACCCCAUCCGGGGCAAGGCCAAAUAGGGGAGCAUUGGCGUGGCUCGCGUCGCUCCCGGGUAGGCUGCUAGAGCGCCGUGGUAACGCGGCGCCCAGAGGAAUGACUGCCCGAUGGUUCCGGUUUGCGCCGGGGCUGUUCGACAGAACCCGGCUUAUCGGCGAACUUCCCGA